CAUACAUACAUACAUGUGGACACAUGAACUGCAUCUUCACCUGAGAAAAGCAAGAGACGGGGGGAAAAAAUAGAGAGCAAAGCCUUUUACUCCUUUUAAAAACAGACUGAAACUGGAUUCUCGAGUUCUCUGCAGGAUUAACUCACGUGCCCAGCGAGGGCACUGGGAAACACAGUGGCUUCCUGCUCACCCGUCCUGUCCCCAAGCAGCCUCUCUAUAUGGCUAGGCUAGGACAAAAAAUGUGCCAGUUGAAAACAGCAUGGUGGUCUCAAGGUAGUCUAGCUGUUGUGUCGUCUCAGGGUUCUCUGAAGAAGGCACAUCCAAAGA
This 327-nucleotide long non-coding RNA is filed under the name Cricetulus griseus (Chinese hamster). Its description in RNAcentral is "lncRNA (ENSCGRG00015030141.1)". Lineage: Eukaryota; Metazoa; Chordata; Mammalia; Rodentia; Cricetidae. The record is from RNAcentral.